AAAUUGAAGAGUUUGAUCAUGGCUCAGAUUGAACGCUGGCGGCAGGCCUAACACAUGCAAGUCGAACGGUAACAGGAAGCAGCUUGCUGCUUCGCUGACGAGUGGCGGACGGGUGAGUAAUGUCUGGGAAACUGCCUGAUGGAGGGGGAUAACUACUGGAAACGGUGGCUAAUACCGCAUAACGUCGCAAGACCAAAGAGGGGGACCUUCGGGCCUCUUGCCAUCAGAUGUGCCCAGAUGGGAUUAGCUUGUUGGUGAGGUAACGGCUCACCAAGGCGACGAUCCCUAGCUGGUCUGAGAGGAUGACCAGCCACACUGGAACUGAGACACGGUCCAGACUCCUACGGGAGGCAGCAGUGGGGAAUAUUGCACAAUGGGCGCAAGCCUGAUGCAGCCAUGCCGCGUGUAUGAAGAAGGCCUUCGGGUUGUAAAGUACUUUCCGCGGGGAGGAAGGUGUUGUGGUUAAUAACGACAGCAAUUGACG
RNAcentral lists this ribosomal RNA (484 nucleotides) under Salmonella enterica subsp. enterica serovar Schwarzengrund. Its description in RNAcentral is "bacterial SSU rRNA". It matches the Rfam family "Bacterial small subunit ribosomal RNA", at positions 1 to 474 of the family's 1533-position model. Lineage: Bacteria; Pseudomonadati; Pseudomonadota; Gammaproteobacteria; Enterobacterales; Enterobacteriaceae. The record is from RNAcentral.